GAAGAGUAACCUUCGAAAGAAUACUA
This 26-nucleotide ribosomal RNA is filed under the name Melanoleuca diverticulata. Its description in RNAcentral is "partial 18S ribosomal RNA". Lineage: Eukaryota; Fungi; Basidiomycota; Agaricomycetes; Agaricales; Pluteaceae. The record is from RNAcentral.